CUACGGGACGCAGCAGUGGGGAAUAUUGCACAAUGGAGGAAACUCUGAUGCAGCAACGCCGCGUGGAGGAUGACACUUUUCGGAGCGUAAACUCCUUUUAUAUAGGAAGAAGAUGACGGUACUAUAUGAAUAAGCGCCGGCUAACUCCGUGCCAGCAGCCGCGGUAAUACGGAGGGCGCAAGCGUUACUCGGAAUCACUGGGCGUAAAGAGCGUGUAGGCGGAUUAAAAAGUCAGAAGUGAAAUCCUAUAGCUUAACUAUAGAACUGCUUCUGAAACUCUUAAUCUAGAAUAUGGGAGAGGUAGAUGGAAUUUCUGGUGUAGGGGGAAGAUCCGUAGAGAUCAGAAGGAAUACCGAUUGCGAAGGCGAUCUACUAGAACAUUAUUGACGCUGAGACGCGAAAGCGUGGGGAGCAAACAGGAUUAGAUACCCUGGUAGUC
This 439-nucleotide ribosomal RNA is filed under the name uncultured bacterium. Its description in RNAcentral is "partial 16S ribosomal RNA". It matches the Rfam family "Bacterial small subunit ribosomal RNA", at positions 339 to 795 of the family's 1533-position model. The record is from RNAcentral.